GAACGCUAGCGACAGGCCUAACACAUGCAAGUCGAGGGGCAGCACAAGGAGCAAUCUGAGGUGGCGACCGGCGCACGGGUGAGUAACACGUAUGCAACCUGCCUGUAAGCGGGGAAUAACCCGUUGAAAGACGGACUAAUACCGCAUAAUACUAAAUUACUGCAUGGUAAUUUAUUUAAACAUUUAUGGCUUACAGAUGGGCAUGCGCAUGAUUAGCUAGUUGGAGAGGUAACGGCUCCCCAAGGCAACGAUCAUUAGGGGUUCUGAGAGGAAGGUCCCCCACACUGGUACUGAGACACGGACCAGACUCCUACGGGAGGCAGCAGUGAGGAAUAUUGGUCAAUGGACGAGAGUCUGAACCAGCCAAGUCGCGUGCAGGAAGAAUGUUCCCUAUGGAUUGUAAACUGCUUUUGCAGGGGAAUAAAGUGCAUCACGUGUGAUGUUUUGUAUGUACUCUGCGAAUAAGGAUCGGCUAACUCCGUGCCAGCCGCCGC
Molecule: ribosomal RNA, 494 nt
Filed under: uncultured bacterium
Lineage: Bacteria
Description: bacterial SSU rRNA
Rfam family: Bacterial small subunit ribosomal RNA
Source: RNAcentral